GAAAAAGUAUGCAAGAACUGCUAACUCUAUGCCCCAUGCCUAAUAACAUGGCUUUUUCA
RNAcentral lists this transfer RNA (59 nucleotides) under Pelea capreolus (common rhebok). RNAcentral's name for it is "tRNA-Ser". The record is from RNAcentral. Lineage: Eukaryota; Metazoa; Chordata; Mammalia; Artiodactyla; Bovidae.